Molecule: long non-coding RNA, 550 nt
Filed under: Gallus gallus (chicken)
Lineage: Eukaryota; Metazoa; Chordata; Aves; Galliformes; Phasianidae
Description: lncRNA (ENSGALG00010005877.1)
Source: RNAcentral
AGAAGAAGUGUCAUGGUUUUGUAACUUCGCUAUUGGUAUUCCACAUCAUAACAUCAUGGACAAAAGAGAAGAACUACGUAUCCCAGAGGACCUCACGGUCAGAGAAGGAAGACACAUCACGGAAGAUACGUCAUCUGGUUGCGCGCGGUGCUUCUUCACUUUCGCUUGCUGCCGGGAGAGGAGUGGGUGUGCUUUCCAAGCCGGGCGCCUCCAUCAAUGGAAGGAGCCUCCUCCAAGACCAGAGAAUGAUGACUGGCAAGGAAUAUGGAAAGGUUUAGGAAGAAUCUUAGAACCGUGGGGACCCGCCGUGCCAUGGGAUUUCACCCCUGAACAUCUGUGGGAUCCCGAGAAGCUGAGCCAGCAUUUGAGUCAGGGGCAGUGCGGCUUAGAUAGAUCCAAGGAGGCACGACUCAUCUGGGGCUUGGCUUGUGCCUACCGCGCCCUGUAUAGUACUGUUCUGGAGAGAGACAGUUUCCGAGCAGAGGUGCAAGCCGAAGGGGGAAAUCUCCAAGUCAGACCUGAUCAGUCACAACAGACACCAGUAACAGUG